RNAcentral lists this long non-coding RNA (26126 nucleotides) under Hordeum vulgare. Its description in RNAcentral is "long non-coding RNA (HVUL_LNC013953)". Lineage: Eukaryota; Viridiplantae; Streptophyta; Magnoliopsida; Poales; Poaceae. The record is from RNAcentral.
GAGGCAUCACGUUAAUCUUCCGAACACCUAAACCCUAAAAUCCUAAAACCCAAAAAUAAUUUCAUUCAAAAAAAACCCAAAAAUAAGCAAAAUCUAAAACUCUUUAGUCCCGGUCCGUGUAACGAGCCGGGACUAAAGGGCCUGCCCCUGAGGCGCUACGAGGCGCCCACGUGGAGCAUCUUUAGUCCCGGCUUGUAACAGGGCCGGGACUAAAGGUUAGGCGUCCCGGUUGGUGAACCGGGACUAAAGUCCCUUACGGGCCGGGGCUAAAGGCCCCGUCUCCACUAGUGUCUGGCAGUAUAUGGACUUGUGGUAACCUUUGUUAGGACUUAGGUGCUCCAUCCCUGUUCCUCACCUCUCACCUGAUUUGGACGCCCACCGGUUUGGUCUGGCCUAGUAUCUUUUUCCAGUCAUUUCUCGGUUAGAUGCGGAAGAUUUGCCGCAUGAUCUAGCGAUUGCAUCUGACGUUUUUCUUGACUGGUGAUUAAAGUUGGUCGUUAAGGUCUUGUUGAACGUACGUGUGGACCAAAAUAUGUUUUUAUCUUUGUGACAAGUACAAUGACCGCUGUUGUAUUUAUCUCUCAUCUCAACCCUCAACUAAAUUCUAUGUGAAUUCCUAGUAUCUCUUGCAAUCCCUGGUAUCCAUCAAUUGGUUCUGUCGCGCUCCUAAGUUCUCCUUCCCUCUCCGAUCAUAUAUCUCUUUAGUCGAAUCAUGGCAAGGUCAUGUCAAGACCCAAAUGUUUUUUCAAAAAGAUAGUAUAAACACACACACUCACAUCCAUGAACGCACAUACGCACGUUCUAUUCCUAUAAGCACAUUUGAAAGGCUGAGCCGGCGGAUGUUAAGAUUGACAAAGUCACAACAAACGUCACAUCACUCUAUGGACAGAAACAUUGCCUCCCAUUGAGAGUACAUUUCGCGUUUAUCACACACCAAAGCAUCAACAUUUAAUUCCUUGUGUUAGGAAUUAAUUAAAUGUAUUAAUUAAUGGAAUAAUCCAUGCGUUGCCGGUUGCCUUGAUUUAGCAACCGUUCCUUGUAACCGACUCUGUACUCGGGGUAUAAAUACCCCGCAUCUUCAAUCAAUAAUAAUUGUUCCAUCAUUCUGUCACUUUCACUGUUUUACACGUUAUCAGCACUCGCUCUGCCGAGAGCGACAGAGAGCCACGAGAAAGGUCAGAAUGGCAGGAAGAGAGUUGUCUGCACUUGCUUUUGCUUUCGCACGCUUCCUGCAGAAAGAGAACACCCGCUUCCCUCGCACUCAGCGCCACCGCAUUGCACGUCGCCAUCAGGGUCUUGGUGCAAGGAAUGGCCCUCAUCGCCGUUCCUUCACCAGGAACCACCGCCAGAACCGGAGUGGCCCUCAUCGCCGCUUCUUCGCCGGGAACCACCGCCAGAACCACCGCCGUGGGUAUGCACGUCGAGGCAACCAACCACUUCGUGGGCGUGCACCAACGGUGCACCAGGCUGGAUCCUCGACUCCGGCCACCGCUCCACUACAACAGGCUGGUGUUGUAGAUAUGCCCUAGAGGCAAUAAUAAAUUAGUUAUUAUUAUAUUUCUUAGNNNNNNNNNNNNNNNNNNNNNNNNNNNNNNNNNNNNNNNNNNNNNNNNNNNNNNNNNNNNNNNNNNNNNNNNNNNNNNNNNNNNNNNNNNNNNNNNNNNNUGGAUAAUAAACUAUUAUCUUGAUACAGGAAUUAUAAUAAUAACUAUGCAUUUAUUAUUGCCUCUAGGGCAUAAUUCCAACAGUGCCUUCUAGUUGCACUGUCUGUACCCAGACAGUUUAUAACUCUUCCGCUGGCUUGUAUUUGUAUGACUGCUAUUAUGGGUCGAGAGACCUUAAUGUGUAAUAUUAUGUGUGUGGCUCUUNNNNNNNNNNNNNNNNNNNNNNNNNNNNNCUUCCGAGCCUCUUAAAUAAAGCUUGUAUGUUUAUGGUUAUGUUGUGAUGCCAUCGAUGUAUCUAUACAUAUCGGUAUGCCAUGCGUACGUGUGUCUUACUUGGUAUGUAUGGGGUUCGAAUACCUAGUCGUGAACUUUAGUAGCACUCCUUACAAGGAAAUGCCCCUUUGUGAUCCAACGAGCCUUGGUAGUUCGCUACUGCUCCGGACACAUUGGUUGACCGGCAUGUGUCCUUCUUAGCUGCUGUGUCUGUCCCCUUUGGGGAAAUUUCACGCGAUGUAAUGGAGUCCUUGUAGCUUGCUACGACUCGUCUACAUUCGCCGAUGACCGACACCUGCUUUGUUGGGUCAUGUAUGCCUGUCCUUGUGCGGUACUGCCACUUUGGUUUAUGACUAGACAUGUCGAUCCGGGUUCUUUGACAUUGGAUUGCUAGCGACACUAUCGCAUACGUGAGUCAAAAGACGCAAACGGUCCCGGCUAAGGUAAGGCUGCAGCCGUGGAGUUAACCGUGCGUGAGACCACAAAGGGAUGCGAUGUGUUACAGGCUAGAUUCCUAUGGCUUAGGAUCGAGGUCCCGACACUUUAAAAUAUCCAUUUGUACUUAACGGUCUUACGACCAUCAAGUAGUUCUUCCAAAGUCUACACUUUGUUUUCAUACAUGGAUCCUCUCUCGGAUUUCAUGGCCUCCAGCCAUUUAUCGGAAUUCGAGCCCACCAUCGCUUCUCCAUAGCUCGUAGGUUCAUUGUUGUUCAACAACAUGACCUCCAAGACAGGGUCACCGUACCACUCUGUAGCAGUACGCGACCUUGUCGACCUACGAGGUUUGUAGUAGCUUGAUCAGAAGCUUAAUGAUCACAAUCAUUAGUUUCCACUUCAAUUUGCGUAGGCGCCACAUGAACAAAUUCCUGCGCCCUGCUACACACUAGUUGAAGUGAUGGUUCAAUAACCUCAUCAAGUUCCACCAUCCUCCCACUCAGUUCUUUCGAGAGAAACUUUUCCUCGAGAAAGGACCCGUUUCUAGAAACAAACACUUUGCUUCCGGAUCUGAGAUAGGAGGUAUACCCAACUAUUUUGGGUGUCCUAUGAAGAUGCGUUUAUCCGCUCUGGGUUCGAGCUUAUCAUGCUGAAACUUUUCCACAUGAGCAUCGCAGCCCCAAACUUUUAAGAAACGACAGCUUAGGUUUCUCCAAACCAUAGUUCAUACGGUGUCAUCUCAACGGAAUUACGUGGUACCCUAUUUAAAGUGAAUGUGGUUGUCUCUAAUGCCUAACCCAAAACGAUAGUGGUAUUUCGAUAAGAGACAUCAUAGUAUGCACCAUAUCAAAUAGGGCGCGGCUAUGACAUUCAGACAAACCAUCACACUAUGGUGUUCUAGGUGGCAUGAACUGCAAAACAAUUUCCACAUUGUCUUAACCGUGUACCAAAACUCGCAGCUCAGAUAUUCAUCUCUAUGAUCAUAUCGUAGACAGUUUAUCCUCUUGUCACGAUGAUCUUCACUCUGGAAUAGCUUUGAACUUUUCAAUAUUUCAGACUUGUGAUUCAUCAAGUAAAUACUCAUGUAUCUACUCAAAUCAUCAGUGAAGUGAGAACAUAACGAUAUCCACUGCGUGCCUUAGCACUCAUUGGACUGCACAUAUCAAAAAUCUAUUGCAUCCAACAAGUUACUUUCUUGUUCCAUGUGGUAUGAUUUUGCAUGUCUCAAGUGAGUUAAAAUCAAGUGAUUCCAAACGAUCCAUCUGCAUGGAGUUUCUUCAUGCGUUUAUACCAACAGGUAUGGUUUCCAUGUCUCAAACGUUUCAAAAAUGAGUGAGUACAAAGAUCCAUAAGCAUGGAGUUUCUUCAUGCAUUUUACACCAACAUGACUCAAGCGGCAGUGCCACAAGUAAGUGGUUCUAUCAUUAUUACUUUGUAUCUUUUGGCACCACUAUUAUGAAUAUGUGUAACACUACGAUCGAGAUUCAAUAAAUCAUUGAAGGUAAUUAUUCAAGAAAAUAGAAUAACCAUUAUUCUCUUUAAAUGAAUAAUCGUAUUGCAAUAAACACGAUCCAAUCAUGUUCAUGCUCAAAGCAAACACCAAAUAACAAUUAUUUAGGUUUAACACCAAUCCCGAUGGUAGAGGGAGCGUGCGAUGUUUUGAUCACAUCAACCUUGGAAACACUUUCAACACGUAUCGUCACCUCGCCUUUAGCUAGUCUCCGUUUAUUUCGUAGCUUUUAUUUCGAGUUACCAAUCACUUAGCAACCGAACCGGUAUCUAAUACCCUCGUGCUACUAGGAGUACUAGUAAAGUACACAUCAAUAUCAUGUAUAUCAAAUAUACUUCUGUUGACUUCGCCAGCCUACUCAUCUACCAAGUAUAUAGGGUAGCUCCGCCUCAGUGACCGUUCACCUCAUAACAAAAGCACUUAAUCUCGGGUUUGGGUUCAAUCUUGGGUUUCUUCAUUAGAGCAGCAACUGGUUUGUCGUUUCAUGAAGUAUCUCUUCUAGCCCUUGCCCUUCUUGAAACUAGUGGUUUUACUAACCAUCAACAAUUGAUGCUCCUUCUUGAUUUCUACUUUCGUAGUGUCAAACAUUGUGAAUCGCUCAAGGAUCAUCAUAUAUAUCCUUGAUAUGUUAUAGUUCAUCACGAAGCUCUAGCAGCUUGGUGGCAGUGACUUUGGAGAACCAUCACUAUCUCAUCUGGAAGAUUAACUCCCACUUGAUUCAAGCGAUUGUUAUACUGAGCACAUGCUCAACGAUUGAGCUUUUCUCCUUUACUUUGUAGACAAAGAAUCUUGUUGGAGGUCUCAUACCUUUCAACAAGGGCACGAGCAUGAAAUCUCAAUUUCAUAUCUUAGAACAUCUUUUAUGUUCCGUGACGUUUCAAAAUGUCUUCGGCGUCUUGCAUCUAAGCCAUUAAGUAUUACGCACUGAACUAUCACGUAGUCAUGAAAAAUGUGUAUGUCAGAUGUUCGCAACAUCCACAGACGACGCUUGAGGUGCAGCACACCGAGUGGUGCAUUAAGGACAUAAGCCUUCUACGCAGCAAUGAGGACAAUCCUCAGUUUUACGUACUCAGUCCGCAAAGUUACUACUAUCAUCUUUCAACUAAAUUUUCUCUAGGAACAUAUAAAAAAACAGUAGAGCUAUAGCGCAAGCUACAUCAUAAUUCGCAAAGACCUUUUGACCAUGCUCAUGAUAAUUAGUUCAAUUAAUCAUAUUACUUAAGAACUCCCACUCAAAAAAUACAUCCCUCUAGUCAUUUCAGUGGUGCAUGAUCCAAAUCCACUAACCCAAGUCCGAUCAUCACGUGAGUUGCGUAUAGUUUCAGUGGUAAACAUCUCUAUGCUAAUCAUAUCAACUAUAUGAUUCAUGCUCGACCUUUCGGUCUCUUGUGUUCCGAGGCCAUGUCUGCACAUGCUAAGCUCGUCAAGUUUAACCCGAGUGUUCCGCGUGUGCAACUGUUUUGCACCCGUUGUAUGCGAACGUUGAGUCUAUCACACCCGAUCAUCACGUGGUGUCUCGAAACGACGAACUGUCGCAACGGUGCAUAGUCGGGGAGAACACAAUUUUAUCUUGAAAUUUUAGUGAAGGAUCACGUUAUAAUGCUACCAUCGUUCUAAGAAAGAUAAGGUGCAUAAAAGGAUUAACAGCACAUGCAAUUCAUAAGUGACAUGAUAUGGCCAUGAUCUUGUGCUUCUUGAUCUCCAUCACCAAAGCACCGACAUGAUCUUCAUCGUCACCGGCACCACACCAUGAUCUCCACCAUCGUGCCGCCAUCGAGGUUGUCGUGCUAUAUACGCUAUCACUACUAAAGCUACAACCUAGCGAUAUAGUAAACGCAUAUGCAAACACAAACGUUAGUUUAAAGACAACCUUAUGGAUCCUGCCAGUUGCCGUAGCAUCGACGUGCAAGUCGAUAUUUAACUAUUACAAAAUGAUCAUCUCAUACAUCCAAUAUAUCACAUCAUGUCUUUGGCCAUAUCACAUCACAUGCAUACCCUGCAAAAACAAGUUAGACAUCCUCUAAUUUGUUGUUGCAUGUUUUACGUGGCUCCUAUGGGUAUCUAGUAUGAUCGCAUCUUACUUACGCAUAGCCACAACGGUAAUAUGCAAAUUGCUAUUUAACCUUUCUCCAAGGACCGCCUCGGUCAAAUCCGAUUCAACUAAAGUUGAAGAAACAGACACCCGCCAGUCAUCUUUAUGCAACAAGUUGCAUGUUAGUCGAUGAAACCGGUCUCUUGUAAGCGUACGAUUAAGGUUGGUUUGGGCCGCUUCAAUCCAACAAUACCGCCGAAUCGAGAAAAUACUAAGGAGGGCAGCAAAUUGAACAUCAAUGCCCACAAAAACUUGUUUGUUCUACUCGAGAUUACAUCUACGCAUGAACCUAGCUCAUGAUGCCACUAUUGGGGAACGUUUCAUGGGAAACUAAAAAAUUCCUACACACACGAAGACCUAUCAUGGUGAUGAUCAUCUACGAGAGGGAGAUCGGGUCCACAUACCCUUGUAGAUCGCUAAGUGGAAAUGUUAAGAAACGUGUAUGAUGUAGUGGUAUGUCUUCACGAUCCGUCCCACGAACCGUCUCACGAUCCGUCCCGAUCAAGUGUUGAACGGACGGCACCUCCGCGUUCCGCACACGUACAGCUCGAUGACGAUCUCCGCCUUCUUGAUCCAGCAAGAGGGGCGGAGAGGUAGAUGAGUUCUCCAGCAUGGCGAUGUGGUGGUGGUGUUGGUGGUGCUAUUCCAGCAGGGCUUCGCCUAAGCACCGCUGAAACUAGAGGAGAAACAGAUCUAGAGAGAGAGGGCAGCACGUGGCUGUUUCUGUUGUCCAAAAACCCUCAAAACCCUUAGUAUAUAUAGGAGGAGAGGAGGGAGAGGGUUGCGCCCUAGAGCAACCUUCUCUUCCCUUGCGCAAGGGAGAGGAGGAGGAGUCCUACUCCAAUCCUAUUUGGAGUAGGAUUCCUCCUUCCCACUUGGAAACUCUUUCCACCUUGUGUUUUUCCUUCUCAAACCUUAUGGGUCUUAGUGGGAACUUAUUCGAGCCCACUAGGGGAUGGUUUAUCUCUUGCCACAGCCCAUAAGGCCUCUUGGGGCGUGACACCCCUCCCGAUGGUCCCCGGCACACCUCCCGGCACUCCCGGUACACUACCGAUGAGCCCGAAACUUUUCCCGUGACCAAAACAGGACUCCCUAUAUAUCAAUCUUCAUUUCCGGACCAUUCUGGAAACCUUCGUGAUGUACGGGAUCUCAUCCGGCACUCUGAACAACCUUCGGUCACCAACACAUAUAACUUAACUAUACCGAAACAUCACCGAACUUUAAGUGUGUAGACCCUGCGGGUUCGAGAACUAUGUAGACAUGACCUGAGACACUCUUCGGUCAAUAACCAACGGCGGGACCUCGAUGUUCAUAUUGGCUCCUACAUAUUCUACGAAUAUCUCUAUCGGUUGAACCUCUAUGUCAAGGAUUAAUAUAAUCCCGUAUACUAUUCCCUUUGUCCUUCGGUAUGUUACUUGCCCGAGAUUCGAUCGUUGGUAUCUCCAUACCGAGUUCAAUCUCGUUACCGGCAAGUCUCUUUACUCGUUCCAUAAUACAAGAUCUCGUGACUAACUCCUUAGUCAUAUUGCUUGCAAGGCUUGUUGUGAUGUUGUAUUACCGAGUGGGCCCCCUAGAUACCACUCCGUCACAUGGAGUGACAAAUCACAGUCUUGAUCCAUGCCAACCUAAUAGACACCUUUGGAGAUACGUGUAGAGCACCUUUAUGGUCACCCAGUUAUGUUGUGACGUUUGAUACACACAAGGCAUUCCUCCGGUGUCCGGGAGUUGUGAUACGUCCAUUUUGCAUCAUGUUUUCAUGUUGAUAUUUAUUGCUUCUUGGGAUGUUAUAUUACUUGUGGUGCCAUAUUUAUGCCUUUUCGCUCUUAUUUUGCAAGGAUUAUUUGAAGAGGGAGAAUUCAGGCAGCUGGAAUUCUGGACUAGAAAAGGAGCAAAUCCUAGUCCACUAUUCUGCACAUCUCCAAAUGCCCUGAAAAUUUUCGUGGAUUUUUUCUAGAAUAUAUUAAAAAUACUGGGCGAAAGAACUACCAGAGGGGGCCACCAGGGCCCCACAAGCUUGCCCACCGCCGCCGCCCCCCUGGUGGCGCACGGCAGGCUUGUGGGCAGCCCACUGGCCCACUAGCCCCCCUCUUUUGCUAUAUGAUGCGUCCUGACCUGGAGAAAAUCAUACAGGAGCUUUUUCGUGGUUUCCCCGCCGCCACAGGGCGGAACUUGAGUAGAUCCAAUCUAGAGCUCCGGCAGGACGAUCUUGUCGGGGAAAUUUCCCUCCCGGAGGGGGGAAUCAUCACCAUCUUCAUCACCAACACUCCUCUCAGCGGAGGGGAGGCAUCUUCAUCAACAUCUUCAUCGGCACCAUCUCUUCUCCAAUCCCUAGUUCAUCUCUUGUAACCAAUCUUCGUCUCGCAACUCAGAUUAGUACUUGUAAGGUUGCUAGUAGUGUUGAUUACUCUUUGUAGUUGAUGCUUGUUGGAUUACUUGGUGGAAGAGUUUAUGUUCAGAUCCUUGAUGCUAUUCAUUACACCUCUGGUCAUGAUUAUGAUUAUAUCUUGUGAGUAGUUACUUUUGUUCCUAAGGACAUGGAAUAAGUCAUGCUGAUAAUAGUCAUGUGAAUUUGAUAUUCGUUCAGUAUUUUGAUAUGAUGUAUGUUGUUUUUCCUCUAGUGGUGUUAUGUGAACGUGGACUACAUAACACUUCACCAUAUUUGAGCCUAGAGGAAGGCAUUGUGAAGUAGUAAGUAGAUGAUGGGUUGCUGGAGUGACAGAAGCUUAAACCCCAGUUUAUGCGUUGCUUCGUGAGGGGAUGAUUUGGAUCCACUAGUUUAAUGCUAUGGUUAGACUUUGUCUUAAUUCUUCUUUUGUAGUUGCGGAUGCUUGCUAGAGAGGUUAAUCAUAAGUGGGAUGCUUGUCCAAGUAAGGUCAGUACCCAAGCGCCGGUCCACCCACAUAUCAAACUAUCAAAGUAACGAACGCGAAUCAUAUGAACAUGAUGAAACUAGCAUGACAGAAAUUCUCAUGUGUCCUCGGGAGCAUUUUUCCUCCUAUAUGACUUUGUUCAGGCUUGUCCCUUGCUACAAAAGGGAUUGGGCCACUUGCUGCACCGUUGCUACUACUUGUUAUUUGUUACUCUUUGCUUGCUACGUUUCACCUCGCUACACAAUCACUUGUUACCGCUACUUUCAGUGCUUGCAGUUAUUACCUUGCUGAAAUUCGUUUAUCACAGCCUUCUGCUCCUCGUUGGGUUCGACAAUCUUACUUAUAGAAAGGACUAUGAUUGAUCCCCUAUACUUGUGUUGGAAAUAUGCCCUAGAGGCAAUAAUAAAUUAGUUAUUAUUAUAUUUCUUUGUUCAUGAUAAUCGUUUCUUAUCCAUGCUAUAAUUGUAUUGAUUGGAAACACAGUGCAUGUGUGGAUACACAGACAAAACACAGUCCCUAGUAAGCCUCUAGUUGACUAGCUCGUUGAUCAAAGAUGGUCAAGGUUUCCUGACCAUAGGCAAGUGUUGUCACUUGAUAACGGGAUCACAUCAUUAGGAGAAUCAUGUGAUGGACUAGACCCAAACUAAUAAGACGUAGGAUGUUGAUCGUGUCAUUUUGUUGCUAUUGUUUUCUGCGUCUCAAGUAUUUGUUCCUAUGACCAUGAGAUCAUAUAACUCACUGACACCGGAGGAAUGCUUUGUGUGUAUCAAACGUUGCAACGUAACUGGGUGACUAUAAAGAUGCUCUAUAGGUAUCUCCGAAGGUGUUCGUUGAGAUAGUAUGGAUCGAGACUGGGAUUUGUCACUCCGUGUGACGGAGAGGUAUCUCGGGGCCCACUCGGUAAUACAACAUCACNNNNNNNNNNNNNNNNNNNNNNNNNNNNNNNNNNNNNNNNNNNNNNNNNNNNNNNNNNNNNNNNNNNNNNNNNNNNNNNNNNNNNNNNNNNNNNNNNNNNNNNNNNNNNNNNNNNGGUAAACGAGAUUGAAAUAGGUAUGCGGAUACUGACGAUCGAAUCUCGGGCAAGUAACAUACCGAAGUACAAAGGGAAUGACAUACGGGAUUAUAUGAAUCCUUGGCACCGAGGUUCAAACGAUAAGAUCUUCGUAGAAUAUGUAGGAUCCAAUAUGGGCAUCCAAGUCCCGCUAUUGGAUAUUGACCGAGGAGUCACUCGGGUCAUGUCUACAUAGUUCUCGAACCCGCAGGGUCUGUACACUUAAGGUUCGACGUUGUUUUAUGCGUAUUUGAGUUAUAUGGUUGGUUACCGAAUGUUGUUCGGAGUCCCGGAUGAGAUCACGGACAUCACGAGGGUUUCCGGAAUGGUCCGGAAACAAAGAUUGAUAUAUAGGAUGACCUCAUUUGAUUACCGGAAGGUUUUCGGAGUUACCGGGAAUAUACCGGGAAUGACGAAUGGGUUCCUCGGAAUGUACCAGGAAUGACGAAUGGGUUCCGGGUGUUCACCGGGGGGGCAACCCACCCCGGGGAAGCCCAUAGGCCUUGGGGGUGGCGCACCAGCCCUUAGUGGGCUGGUGGGACAGCCCAAUAAGGCCCUAUGCGCCAUAGGAAGAAAAUCAAAGAGAAAAAGGAAAAAAGAAAAGGGGAGGUGAGAAAAAGGGGAAGGACUCCACCUUCCAAACCUAGUUGGAUUCGGUUUGGAAGGGGAGGACUCCCCCCCUUGGCUCGACCGACCCCCAAGGCAAGGCCCCCCUCUCCCACCUAUAUAUACGGAGGUUUUAGGGUUGAUUUGAGACAACUUUGCCACGGCAGCCCGACCACAUACCACCAUGGUUUUACCUCUAGAUCGCGUUUCUGCGGAGCUCGGGUGGAGCCCUGCUGAGAUUAGAUCACCACCAAACUCCGGAGCGCCGUCAUGCUGCCCGAGAACUCAUCUACCUCUCCGUCUCUCUUGCUGGAUCAAGAAGGCCGAGAUCAUCGUCGAGCUGUACGUGUGCUGAACGCGGAGGUGCCGUCCGUUCGGCACUAGAUCGUGGGACGGAUCGCGGGACGGUUUGCGGGGCGGAUCGAGGGACGUGAGGACGUUCCACUACAUCAACCGCGUUUCUUAACGCUUCUGCUGUGCGAUCUACAAGGGUACAUAGAUCAAAUAUCCCCUCUCGUAGAUGGACAUCACCAUGAUAGGUCUUCGUGCGCGUAGGAAAAUUUUUGUUUCCCAUGCGACGUUCCCCAACAACUUGUGGGUCAUCAAGACUCUUUUCUGGCGCCGUUGCCGGGGAGUGAAGCGCCUUUGGUAAGUGGAAAUUGGUAAGGAAACAAUUUUAUACUGUGCUGAAAUUUAUUGUCACUUGUCACUAUGGAAACUCUUCCUUUGAGGAGUUUGUUCGGGGUAUCUUCACCAUGAACGGAAGCACGAGGAUUUGCUCCUCAACCUGAGGUACCUACUGAAAAUAUCUUUUAUAAAAUUCCUUUGGGUAUGCUUGAGAAAUUGCUGGCUAAUCCUUUUACAGGAGAUGGAUCUUCACAUCCAGACUUUCAUCUAAUCUAUGUAGAUGAAGUUUGUGGUUUAUUUAAGCUUGCAGGUUUGCCCGAGGAUGAGGUAAAGAAGAAACUCUUUCCUUUAUCUUUGAAGGAUAAGGCAUUGACAUGGUAUAGGCUAUGUGAUGAUACUGGAUCAUGCAGCUACAAUCGGUUGAAAUUGGAAUUUCAUCAAAAGUUCUAUCCCAUGCAUUUAGUAUAUCAUGAUCGGAACUUUAUUUAUAACUUUUGGCCUCGUGAUAGGGAAAGCAUAGCUCAAGCUUGGGGGAGGCUUAAAUCAAUGCUAUAUUCAUGCCCCAAUCAUGAGCUCUCGAGAGAAAUCAACACUCAAAACAUUUAUGCUCGGAUUUCUCAUGAAGAUCGUACCAUGCUUGAUACUUCUUGUGCCGGUUCUUUUAUGAAGAAGAAUAUUGAUCACAAGUGGAAUUUAUUGGAGAGAAUCAAACGCAACUCUGGAGAUUGGGAGCUGGAGGAAGGUAAGGACUCAGGUAUGAAUUUCUAUUUUGAUUGCGUUAAAUCUUUUGUUGAGACAAACACUUCUAGAGAGCGCUAAGUAUGGACUUGACUCUGAGAUAGUAGCUUCUCUUUGUAAAUCUUUUGCUGCUCAUGUUGAUCUUCCCAAAGAGAAGUGGUUUAAAUAUCAUCCUCCUGUAGAAAGCAACAUAGCCAAAACCAAUCUAGUUGAGGAGAAAAUCAUAGCUUUUAGUGAUCCUGUUGUUCCUUGUGCUUACACUGAGAAACCACCAUACCCUGCUAGGAUGAAGGAUUAUUCUAAAGCUCCAACUGUGAUACGUAGGGGUUACAUUAGACCACUUGCACCCCCUGAAGAGAUUAGAGUUGAACCUAGUGUUGCUAUUAUCAAAGAUCUCUUAGCCAAAGAGAUAGAUGGGCAUGUUAUCAAAUUCUGUGAGGACUCCGCUAGAAUUGCUAAACCUCACGCGAAAGACAAGCACGGACCUGUAGUUGGCCUGCCCGUUGUUUCUGUUAAGAUAGGAGAUCACUGUUACCAUGGUUUAUGUGAUAUGGGAGCUAGUGUUAGUGCAAUACCCCGUUCUCUAUAUGAUGAAAUCAAAGAUGAGAUUGCACCAGCUGAGAUAGAACCCAUUGAUGUCACUAUCACGCUAGCUAAUAGAGACACUAUAUGCCCUUUGGGAAUUGUGAGAGAUGUAGAAGUCCUGUGUGGUAAGACGAAGUAUCCUACUGAUUUCCUCGUCCUUGGUACUACACAAGAUAGCUUUUGUCCCAUCAUAUUCGGUAGACCCUUUCUCAACACUAUCAAUGCUCACAUUGAUUGCAUUAAGCAGACUGUCAUAGUAAGUUUCGAGGGUGUGUCUCAUGAAUUUAACUUCUCCAAGUUUGGAAGACAACCCCAUGAAAGAGAUUCAUCUGGUAGGGAUGAAAUCAUUGCUCUUUCCUCUAUUGCCAUACCUCCUACGAAUCCUUUAGAGCAAUAUCUGCUUGAGCAUGAAAAUGAUAUGCAUACGGAGGAGAGAGAUGAGAUAGAUAGAAUUGUCUUAGAACAAUGUCCUAUUCUCAAGAAUAAUCUGCAUGUUGAACUGCUUGGGGAUCCUCCCCCACCAAAGGGUGAUCCUGUGUUCGAGCUUAAACAGUUGCCUGAUACUCUUAAGUAUGCCUAUCUUGAUGAGAAGGAGAUAUAUCCUGUCAUUAUUAGUGCUCUCCUCUCAGAGCGUGAAGAGAAGAAGUUACUAAAAACUCUGAGGAAGCACCGCGCUGCUAUUGGAUAUACUCUUGAUGAUCUUAAGGGUAUUAGUCCUACUCUAUGUCAGCACAAGAUUAAAACCGAUCCUGACUUUAAACCAGUUGCUGAUCAUCAAAGGAGAUUAAAUCCUAAGAUGAAAGAGGUCGUUAGAAAAGAAAUAUUAAAGCUUCUGGAAGCAGGAAUCAUUUAUCCUAUUGCUCAUAGUGAUUGGGUAAGUCCAGUACAUUGCGUACCUAAGAAGGGAGGUAUCACCGUCGUUCCUAAUGAUAAGGAUGAACUAAUCCCACAAAGGAUUAUUACCGGCUAUAGAAUGGUGAUAGACUUCCGGAAACUGAACAAGGCAACCAGGAAAGAUCAUUAUCCUUUGCCGUUCAUCGACCAAAUGCUAGAAAGGCUAUCAAAGCACACACACUUUUGCUUUCUAGACGGUUAUUCAGGUUUCUCGCAAAUACCUGUUGCAUAAUUUGAUCAAGAGAAAACCACCUUCACCUGCCCUUUCGAUACCUUUGCCUAUAGAUGUAUGCCUUUUGGCUUAUGUAAUGCACCUGCCACCUUUCAAAGAUGUAUGAUGGCUAUAUUCUCUGACUUUUGUGAAAAGAUUGUCGAGGUUUUCAUGGAUGACUUCUCCAUUUACGGGUCUUCCUUUGAUGAUUGCCUCAGCAACCUUGAUCGAAUCUUACAGAGAUGCGAAUAAACCAACCUCGUCUUGAAUUGGGAGAAGUGCCACUUUAUGGUUAAUGAAGGUAUCGUCUUAGGACACAAAAUCUCUGAAAGAGGCAUUGAAGUUGAUAAGGCUAAGGUUGAUGCAAUUGAGAAAAUGCCUUGCCCCACAGAUAUCAGAGGUAUACGAAGUUUCCUAGGUCAUGCUGAUUUCUAUAGAAGGUUCAUUAAAGACUUCUCUAAGAUUUCUAGGCCUCUUACCAACCUCUUGCAGAAGGAUGUUCCUUUUGUUUUUGAUGAGGAUUGUGAGGAAGCCUUCGAAAUACUUAAGAAGGCUUUGAUAACCGCACCUAUUGUUCAACCACCUGACUGGAACUUUCCCUUUGAAAUCAUGUGUGACGCUAGUGAUUAUGCUGUUGGUGUUGUUCUAGGACAAAGAGUUGACAAGAAGUUGAAUGUCAUUCACUACGCUAGUAAAACUCUAGACAGUGCCCAAAGGAACUAUGCCACUACGGAGAAGGAAUUUUUAGCACUCGUGUUUGCAUGUGAAAAAAUCAGAUCUAACAUAGUUGACUCCAAGGUCACUAUUCACUCUGAUCAUGCUCCUAUUAAGUACCUUAUGGAGAAGAAGGACGCUAAGCCUAGGCUUAUCAGAUGGGUUCUCCUGCUACAGGAAUUUGAUUUGCACGUCAUUGACCGAAAGGGUGCUGAUAACCCUGUAGCAGAUAACUUGUCUAGGCUAGAGAAUGUCCUUGAUGACCCACUACCAAUUGAUGACAGCUUUCCUGAUGACCAAUUAAAUGUCAUCCGCACUUCACUUAGUGCACCAUGGUAUGCCGAUUAUGCAAACUAUAUCGUAGCCAAAUACAUACCACCCAGUUUCACCUAUCAACAAAAGAAGAAAUUCUUCUUUGAUUUGAGACACUACUUUUGGGAUGAUCCUCACCUUUAUAAGGAAGGAGUAGAUGGUGUUAUUAGACGUUGUGUGCCUGAACAUGAACAGGGACAGAUCCUGCAGAAGUGUCAUUCCGAAGCCUACGGAGGACACCACGCUGGAGAUAGAACUGCCCAUGAGGUAUUGCAAUCAGGUUUCUAUUGGCCCACUCUCUUCAAGGAUGCUCGUAAGUUUGUCUUGUCUUGUGACAAAUGCCCAAGGAUAGGGAACAUCAGUAAGCGUCACAAGAUGCCUAUGAACUAUUCACUUGUCAUUGAACCAUUUGAUGUCUGGGGCUUUGAUUAUAUGGGACCCUUCCCGAGUUCCAGUGGGUACACUCACAUCUUAGUUGUUGUGGAUUACGUUACUAAGUGGGUAGAAGCUAUCCCCACUAAAAAUGCUGAUCACCACAACUCUAUUAAGAUGCUUAAAGAAGUUAUAUUCCCAAGAUUUGGAGUCCCUAGAUACUUGAUGACUGAUGGCGGUUCACACUUCAUUCAUGGUGUUUUCCGCAAGAUGCUAGCUAAGUAUGAUGUCAACCAUAGAGUUGCAUCUCCUUAUCAUCCUCAGUCUAGUGGUCAAUUGGAGUUGAGUAAUAGGGAGAUCAAGUUGAUCUUACAAAAGACCGUCAAUAGAUCCCGAAAGAACUGGUCUAGCAAACUUGACGAUGCACUAUGGGCUUAUAGGACUGCUUAUAAAAAUCCCAUGGGCAUGUCACCGUAUAAAAUGGUUUACGGUAAGGCCUGUCAUUUACCUCUUGAGUUGGAACACAAAGCUUAUUGGGCAAUCAAAGAGCUCAACUUUGAUUUCAAACUUGCCAGUGAGAAGCGGUUGUUUGAUAUCAGCUUGUUGGAUGAAUGGAGAGCCCAGGCAUAUGAGAAUACCACGUCGUCAAGGAAAAGGUUAAGAGAUGGCACGACAAACGAAUACAGAAACGAGAGUUCAAUGUAGGUGAUUAUGUCUUGCUAUACAAUUCUCGUUUGAGAUUCUUUGGAGGCAAGCUUCUCUCUAAAUGGGAAGGUCCCUACGUUGUCGAGGAAGUAUAUCGUUCCGGUGCCAUCAAAAUCAAUAAUACAAGGAAAUUUUCCUAGAGUGGUAAAUGGGCAAAGAAUCAAGCAUUACAUCUCUGGUACUCCCAUAAAUGUUGAGACCAAUAUCAUCAAUGUCAUAACUCCACAGGAGUACAUAAGGGAUGUUUAUCAGCCUGUUUCAGACCUUGAAAACGAAGAUGUAUCUGUUUCGGCAAGAAAUUGGACUCCGAUACUUUUCCAAUAGGAAAUUUCCUCAGUUUUGGAAUUUUUGGAAAAUUAGAAAAAUAAAAAAGCAGUCCGGAGAGCAAACGAGGAAGCCACAAGGGCCCACUCCGCCACCACCCCCUGGUGGCGGUGGGCAAGCUUGUGGGCACCUUGUGUGCCUCCCGGACUCCGUUUUCUUGCAGAGGACUCCUUCUGGCCCAGAAAAAAUCAAUAUAUAGUUGCCCGAAGGUUUUGAUCUUCAUAUCGCGUAGUUUUCCUCUGUUUUCGUUUCGAGCUUGUUUCUGCCGCAGAUCUAGAUCAUCAUGACUUCCCCAAACGCUCCUAAGGACAAGAUCUUGGAGAAGGUCAUCAAUCCCUACCUCACGGAAGUGCUAAAACACCAUCAAUCUAUCAAGAUGAGCGAGGGGAUGUUGCACAUCCGUGAUGUUGAGGGGCCUAAGAAGACCGGAAGCAUGGAGACGAGGCUCGAAGUAGUGGAGCAACAAGUCUUCAUGUGCCAAGGGAUGGUUGAGCGUGGACUCAACGCCAACCACACGAUGAUCACGGAGUUCACUAGCAAUCACAAGAUGGAUGUCAUUGAUAUCGGGAAACACCUCUCCAGACUUUACGAUAGGGUUGACCAACUUCAGGGCCAAAUCUAUGACCUGCAGAAUCAAAACUGUGAGUAUGGGUAUAGAUUUAAAUCAAUAAGGUUGGCUGCAGAUUUGAGGAUUUCGGCUACUCGUUCAUCCUGCCAUGAUGGAGCACCUAUGCCUUGGAAGACGGAGGAUCAGACUACUCCAACAACACCACCAUCAUCACCAAAGGAAGACAACUAAGCAUUGGUAUGGGCAAUCCCCUUGGCUUCUGCCGAGCUUGGGGGAGUUGCCCUGGUAUCAUAUCACCUUUAUAUCUUUUGCUUUUACCUUUGUUUUAGUUCUUUCCCUUUCAGUUUUUAUUUCUUCUUUUAGAGGAAUAAGUCUUUAGUUUUUAGUUUGAGUCUUUUGCUUUUGGUCUCUCCCCCGAUGUAUUCGAGCUUACGAGCUAUAUAAUAAAGAGUGUCUUAGUCAAAGGGCUUUGCUUUGUGCCAUGAUCAAAAGUAUGAAAAGAACGAUAGCAUGAAAGAUCAUGAGACGAUCUUAUGGAAAGUGAUAACUUCACUUAUGACACGUAUGAUGAUUGAAACUUGUCGAGAAUAAAUCAACACAUACCUCAGUCAUUGUUGCAAUUAAUAAGAAGUAAUAAGGAAAGAGAGGUUCACAUAUAAAUAUAUCAUCUUAGACACUUUCUACAAUUGUGAGCACUCACCAAACUAUUACAUGCCUAGGAGUAGAUGUUGGACAAGGAAGACAACAUAAUGAAUUGUGUUUGCUUGGUUCCAAACAAUGUUAUAUGAUUAGAGAUCCCUUAGCAUGUGACGAUUGCUUCCACCUCAUAUUAGCCAAAACUUCCGCACCAAGUAGAGAUACUACUUGUGCAUCCAUAAACCUUCAACCCAGUUUUGCCAUGAGAGUCCACCAUACCUACCUAUGGAUUGAAUAAGAUCCUUCAAGUAAGUUGUCAUCGGUGCAAGCAAUAAAAAUUGCUCUCUAAUAUGUAUGAUCUAUUAGUGUGUGGAAAAUAAGCUUUGUACGAACCUGUGAUGAGGAAGACAUAAAAGCGACAGACUGCAUAAUAAAGUUCUUUGUCACAGGAGGCAAUAUAAAGUGACGUUCCUCCGCACUAAGAGGACACGCAUUCAAACCUCAAAAGUGCAUGACAACCUCUGCUUCCCUCUGCGAAGGGCCUAUCUUGUACCUUUACUUUUACCCUUGUAAGAGUCAUGGUGAUCAUCACCAAUUCCCUUUUUGCCUUCGUCUUGGCUACCGUCACAUGCUUGGAAAAGAUCUAUAUUCAUAUAUCAACUUGGAGUUGAGUACUCAUGCUUUAUUGUUGUUGACUUUACCCUUGAGGUAAACCGUUGGGAGGAAAAACUAUAAGCCCCCAUCUUCCUCUGUGUCGAGCUGAAGCUUUGACACCAUGAGUACCACGUGAGCUAUAAAAAUUGUGGAAAACAAAAGAGAUGAUUGAGUAUGUGGGUUUGCCUUACAAGCUCUUAUUUGACUCUUUCUGAUGUUGUGAUAAAUUGCAAUUGCUUCAAUGAUUAUGGACUAUUGUUGGUUACUUCUCGGUAAGGUUUUUGCUUCAUGCUUUGCUUUGUGAAGGAAUUGUUACUUUCCCAUAAGAAUCUUUAUAUAUAUUGUUGUUCUAUGUGUGAUCAUGAUGCCCUCAUGUCUGUAUUAUGUUUUAUCGACACCUUCGUCCCUCAACAUGUGGACGUGUUUAUGGAACUUGGUUUUCGCUUGAGGACAAGCGAGGUCUAAGCUUGGGGGAGUUGAUACGUCCAUUUUGCAUCAUGUUUUCAUGUUGAUAUUUAUUGCUUCUUGGGAUGUUAUAUUACUUGUGGUGCCAUAUUUAUGCCUUUUCGCUCUUAUUUUGCAAGGAUUAUUUGAAGAGGGAGAAUUCAGGCAGCUGGAAUUCUGGACUAGAAAAGGAGCAAAUCCUAGUCCACUAUUCUGCACAUCUCCAAAUGCCCUGAAAAUUUACGUGGAUUUUUUCUGGAAUAUAUUAAAAAUACUGGGCGAAAGAACUACUGGAGGGGGGCCACCAGGGCCCCACAAGCUUGCCCACCACCACCACCCCCUGGUGGCGCACGGUAGGCUUGUGGGCAGCCCACUAGCCCACUAGCCCCCCUCUUUUGCUAUAUGAUGCGUCCUGACCUGGAAAAAAUCAUACAGGAGCUUUUUCGUGGUUUCGCCGCCACCACGGGGCGGAACUUGAGCAGAUCCAAUCUAGAGCUCUGGCAGGACAAUCCUGCCGGGGAAAUUUCCCUCCCGGAGGGGGGAAUCGUCGCCAUCUUCAUCACCAACACUCCUCUCGUCGGAGGGGAGGCAUCUUCAUCAACAUCUUCAUCAGCACCAUCUCUUCUCCAAUCCCUAGUUCAUCUCUUGUAACCAAUCUUCAUCUCGCAACUCAAAUUGGUACUUGUAAGGUUGCUAGUAGUGUUGAUUACUCUUUGUACUUGAUGCUUGUUGGAUUACUUGGUGGAAGAUUUUAUGUUCAGAUCCUUGAUGCUAUUCAUUACACCUCUGGUCAUGAUUAUGAUUAUGUCUUGUGAGUAGUUACUUUUGUUCCUGAGGACAUGGAAUAAGUCAUGCUGAUAAUAGUCAUGUGAAUUUGAUAUUCGUUCGGUAUUUUGAUAUGAUGUAUGUUGUUUUUCCUCUAGUGGUGUUAUGUGAAUGUCAACUACAUAACACUUCACCAUAUUUGGGUCUAGAGGAAGGCAUUGGAAAGUAGUAAGUAGAUGAUGGGUUGCUGGAGUGACAGAAGCUUGAACCCCAGUUUAUGCGCUACUUCGUGAGGGGUUGAUUUGGAUCCACUAGUUUAAUGCUAUGGUUAGACUUUGUCUUAAUUCUUCUUUUGUAGUUGCGGAUGCUUGCGAGAUAGGUUAAUCAUAAGUGGGAUGCUUGUCCAAGUAAGGGCAGUACCCAAGUGCCGGUCCACCCACAUAUCAAACUAUCAAAGUAACGAAUGCGAAUCAUAUGAACAUGAUGAAACUAGUAUGACAGAAAUUCCCGUGUGUCCUCGGGAGCGUUUUCCUCCUAUAAGACUUUGUUCAGGCUUGUCCCUUGCUACAAAAGGGAUUGGGCCACUUGCUGCACCGUUGCUACUACUUGUUACUUGUUACUCUUUGCUUGCUACGUUUCACCUCGCUACACAAUCACUUGUUACCGCUACUUUCAGUGCUUGCAGUUAUUACCUUGCUGAAAUCCGUUUAUCAGAGCCUUUUGCUCCUCGUUGGGUUCGACACUCUUACUUAUCGAAAUGACUACGAUUGAUCCCCUAUACUUGUGGGUCAUCAAGUUGCGUGAUCACAUGGUCAUAGGAACAGAAACAUUGACAUGCAGAAAAAUAGUAGCAAUAAACUGACACGAUCAUAUGCUACAUUUAUAGUUCGGUUCUUGUCCAUCACAUCAUUCUCCCAAUGAUGUGAUCCCGUCAUCAAGUGACAACACUUGCCUAUGGCCAGGAAACCUUGACCAUCUUUGAUCAACGAGCUAGUCAACUAGAGGCUCACUAGGGACAGUGGGUUGUCUAUGUAUCCACACAUGUAUUUGAGUUUCCAAUCAAUACAAUUCUAGCAUGGAUAAAUAAAUGAUUAUUACGAACAAGGAAAUAUAAUAAUAACCAAUUUAUUAUUGCCUCUAGGGCAUAUUUCCAACAAUUUCUAUGUAAAAGGUGCGGAUAGUACCUCAUUCUCGUCUAUCCCAAGCUGAGGUAUGUCACCGACCCUAUGCUCAUCCAUGCAUACAAAAUUAUCCACUGGAGCCCUGAAUAAUUUUUUAUAGUAUUCAAAGAUAUAUUGUUUGAGAUUCUCAUGUCCCACAAUUGUACCCUCAUCUUGUUCUAGCUGGAUAAUUUUUUUAUUCCUAUGCUUUCCAUUAGCUAUUAGAUGGAAAUGUUGUGUGUUGUCAUCUCCUUGUACCACUUGGAGGACUUUCGCUCUUAGUGCCCACUUCAACUCCUCCUCUCUGAGUAGUUGUUUGAGCUUUAGUUCAGCCUCCAUUUUUCAAUGACCUCUCAUUGUCACCUAAUAACGUUUGUUCGGCUUUUAUGUCUAGUGUGUUUAUAAGUUUAUAAGUUCGACAAGCCUUUGUUUCUUUUUCUUAUAAAUUACACUAUCGUGCUUUUCCCAACCCCUUAAGAAUUGCCUCAGGUGUCUUAUCUUAUUUUGCCACCUGUCAACAUUCGAGUCACCUUCUGUGAAAUAGCCCAUUCUCAAACCCGUCCCUUUCAAACCAUCCCAAUUCGAAAGAAAAAAGGUUUUUAUUUCCCACAUGUGUUGCUUCUCGCGAGUCUACAAACAGUGGGGUAUGAUCAGAGAUAGCUCUUGGUAACUCUCAAACUGUGACGAGAGGGAAUUUCUGCUCCCAUUCCACACUCAUGAGAACCCGGUCCAACUUCUCAAAAGUUGGGUUAGGUAAAGAGUUUGCCCAAGUAAACUUUCUCCCUGAUAGCUCAAUCUCCCACAAAUUAAGGCUCUCGAUGAUUGAAUUAAACAUAAAUGACCAUCUUCCAUCAAAGUUAUCACUGUUUUUCUCAUCCUGCCUCCAGAUUAUAUUAAAAUCGCCCCCUACUAAAAUCGGCAGUCUCUCGUCCCCGCAGAUUCGGACAAGGUCAGCCAAGAAAUCUCUCUUGAACUCAGGCUGGGCCGCCCCAUGCACAUCUACGAGUGCCCAUUGGAACCCGUCAUCUUUGGAGCGAACUCAAAAUUUGACUGCAAAGUCUCCAUACACCACUUUCGUAGUUGUGGUGUCUCGCACCGAACCCCAAGCAAGAUCCCACCUGAUCUUCCUCUUGGAGGUAGACAAUGCCAGUCAAAUUCAGAACCUCCAUACAACGUGUUUAAAAACGAAGCUAUAUAGUUAUCUCUCCCAGUUUCCAUCAAUGCAACGAAAUCCAAUUUGUGCUCAAUAGUUGUUUCAGCUAGGAAUCUUCUUUUAGCCAAGUCUGCUAGACCUCUGCUAUUCCAAAAUGUUCCUUUCAUCGCUCAUCAUGAAAUUUCUUAGCCGUUUUAAAUCUAGCACUACGACGCACAGCUGAAACAGGAUAGACUUUUCUCUUCCAGGUUCUUUUUGGCCUAUCCUGAACCUCCGACCGAUCCACAUAACCGUUGGACUCUUGUGCGUUAGCAUUCGUUUGUGGAGGAGCCUCAUACCCCUCCUGAACGAUAUCAUUUGUGUCUUCAAGCAAAAGGGGGGUGGCACAAGAUCCUCACAUAAACGCUCUAAGGCUCCCAAACCCAAUGCAUUUAUAUCAGAAUCAUUCAUAGGUUUUACGGCUGCAAUUUUUCUGACCAUCUCAAUUGCCCUCUCUGCCUCUAAGUCUAACAUGUCAUUUACCGAUCUAGAUAUCUCCUGGUCUACCAAACGCUAGAAUAAGGCCUAGUAACGGGCCCGACCCAUGCCAUUUUGGCCCAUGACUGCAACCAAACACACCCUUAAGUAACUUCUACAAUAUCCAUCCCCAACUUCCAGAAAUUCUAACACUUAAAAAAUCAAAAUCAAACUAUUGGCAUUUAAAACUUUCAUACAUUUCAUUUCUGAAAAAAAUGGUCUUUUAGAUUUCGAAAUAUCAGUAUUAUAUUUUUUACAAAAUUUAACUUUAAGAAUUUUCAAAAUUAUAAGGAUUCAAAAUUCAAAUGUUUUAGCACUUAAAAAAAUUCAAACUUUAAAAAAAUUGAACUUUCAAAUGUUUUGAAUUUUAAGAAGUGUGAACUUUCAUUUUUUUAUAAAGGAUGGGUUUUAUUUACUCAAAAUAAAGCAUCAAGAGCAUACAAAUACAAUAAGAACACACCCGGCCACUUUAUAACUAGGAUGCACACAACCAACUCAAACUCACACACACAAAAAUACGAUCGGUAAAUAGCAAAGUCAUAUAAGACCAAAGCUAUGUGCGCGGUUGGAAAAAGAAACCAAAGCGACCAUAUUGGCAAUGGACAAACUACAACAAUGACCAUAUCUGCACCAACAAUUUCAUUACACCACACGGACAACGAGGUUCCUCAACAAUGACACCUUCAGAAAGGGAGCGACGCUCAAAUGCCGCUAUCAUCGGAUCCAACCAUCCAAGGUCAGAUGCAAGAUUUUCACUCUGAGAAUCAGUCCAAGCAUGUCCGAGCAAUUCCUUCAAUAAGGUAAUGGCGUAAAAACAUCGCCAUUGCCAGGUACAGCCAACUCGAGUUGGACCUAGGCUUUCACCCGGGAGCUCAAGACCGGGUGCUCGAGAAGCACCACCAUCGAAGUCACUAUGUGUUGUUGCCACUACUUUUCCACAAUCUCAGUAGCUAUAUGCGAUGUGUGACCGCUGAUGCUGCACAACCAUCCCUCUACAUCAAGCCAUCAUCAAUAGUUUCAAUCUCACCGUUGAAGUCAACCAUCGGAUCUCCAAGAUCAAUCAUGAAGACCUUUUGAUGGAUACUACAUCAAUCCGCCGCGAGACCGCCACCGUAGUCAUGGUGGUCACCACACGUUCGUCGUCACGCCCCUAGCAGACCUAAAGGUCCACACCAAGGAACCACGGGUCCACACGCAUGGAGCCAUGGAUGUGUGUGUGGAUCAUGAAACGACCAAUCCAUGGCCAUGGCCAUUAGAUGAGACUAUCCCUGGCUGAUGGCAGGUGUCCAAGCCCUGCCGACAUGGCCACUACACCAUGGGCGCCAUCCCACAUGAAGGAGCCACCAGGCGGAGCAGCGACCACAAGUGAGGCGAGAUCUACACCAGCAAUGGCUGGAUCAUCCAGGUAACUGUCCGCUGGAUCUGUGGUGACAUCGUUGGAGGAAGCACGGGGUAGAGAGUGUGAAUCUGGGUUGGGGGAGAGGGGAAGGUCGGGGAAGAAGAUCCCUGUGGCGGUUGAGUCCCGCCGCCGCUGACAAACUGUCAUCGAUGAUGACGACGAGGAUGGAACAUCGGAGGCGGCCUCGAGUGCUAGGGUUUCUCGCCCCCGGUGUCGCCCUGGAGCAACACGGGAGGCCGAUGGCGAUUUCAUAGGAGAGAGAGAGAGAAGGUUGAGAAAUAGAAUCACAUGGUUGGGCAUGUGAGGAAAGAGAGAGAUGGAAAGAAGCACAUGGAUGAGGCCCCCUCGUCCUAUCUACCACAUGGUAACCUGACACAGUCACAUGCAAUGCUUGCGGCAAUGACCAUGGGCACAGUUCCCACAAGAGAGCAUUCUUAGAGUAAUAGCGAGUCUCAUCCUCAUGUUGGAUGCCUAUAUAAAGCUUCUCCUUUCCAACAUUCAUCAUACGAAUUGGCCAAAAUUUCUUUCUCAUUUGUGAUCUUUCAUCACAUUCAACUUUCCUUUGUAUAUAUUGUUGCUAAGCUUCAAAUUCUAAUCAGCUGGAGCUAAGCAAUGAAUUCUUCAUGCCAUCGAGCAUUCCUCGUGAGGAACAUCUUUUGUACUUUGGAAUGAGUGGUAUCGAGAAAUUAGUCAGGACGACUUUCUGAGGCUGAGGCGCCGCUUUUUUCUGUUCUCGUCUCUGAGACGUUGAGGUGGUAGACAUUUAUGAUAAGUGCAUUUCUUGUUGAGAAUAGCAUCGAUAAUCAUGUCUAGUCUAACAACUUGCUCAUUUAGGACUACCCUGGACAGUGCAACAAGUAAAAUACCAAAUCCUUGUACAAAAACAAGUUGUUGCCCUGUGGUGAGGAGUUGAAGCUAUGGCAUGAACUCGUCCAUGUGUGCGGUAUUUCUCCUUGUUGUUUCCAUCGUCUCUAGAAAUCGCUAAAAAGAUCAAAAACAAUAUCAAACCGUUGACACUAUGUGUCUACCAUCUCACACAAAUUCGAACCCAUAUCCAUCGCAGAUCUCCAAAAACAAACAAACAAGACGGAUCCAGUGUUGAACAGCAUAGCAACUAAUUCAAAUCAGCACAUGAACACAUCAUAUCAUCAGCACCAACACAAGAUUGUUUUUUUUUCUCUUUUCUUCAAACAAUAUCCUGAUUAAGGUUUAAAUAUUCUUGUGGCGUUGUAAAUACAUGUUGUGUGUCAGAGACAUAAUUCUUUUUCAAAUAAAAAAACAUAACUUUUUUUACCACAAAUUUUUCUAGGCUUAUGUGUGUGUAUCUUCCUUGUUUCAGUUCCAAGUGACAAGAGGCAAACUUGUCACGGUUGACUGAAUAGAACAGUAGCAAUCGACCUGCCCGGAGCUUCUAUUUUUUGUAGGUGAUUUUCUCUGUUAAGAGUGACUUCUUCUUUUUUGAGAGUUUUGUUAAGAGUGACAUGAAAUCUGCAUAUGGCGAUCGAGCACGCAUGCCGGCGAUCCCACACGGCGCACCGCAGCCACAAGCCGAUCGCCCCCACAAAAUCUGCCCGACGGCUCCCACCGGGAUGGGAUUCCCCGGUGCCAAUGGCGCGCGCCCACCUCACCCCCUCUUAUCCCCGCCUCACCCACUCGCGCCACGCCCCUUAUCCCCUCCUCUUACAAACCCACACAAACUAAUCAUCGCCCACCACCCUCCAACGAUCACCAACCAAAACCCCUCCACACGCCCGCCCGCGCGCGCCACGGACGCAGCAAUGGCCGCCCUCGCCGCCUCCAUCGCCACCUCCACGGCGUUCGCCGCGAAGCCGCGCCUGUCCCGCCCGCCGGCGCGCCUCUCCGUCUCCUGCUCCGCGUCCAGCGGCGACAACAACAACAGCACCGCCACCCCCUCGCUCUCCGCCUCCAUCAAGACCUUCUCGGCCGCGCUGGCGCUCUCCUCCGUGCUCCUCUCCUCCGCCGCCACCUCCCCGCCCCCCGCGGCUGCCGACAUCGCCGGCCUGACCCCGUGCAAGGAGUCCAAGGCCUUCGCCAAGCGGGAGAAGCAGUCGGUCAAGAAGCUCAACUCGUCGCUCAAGAAGUACGCGCCCGACUCCGCCCCGGCGCUCGCCAUCCAGGCCACCAUCGACAAGACCAAGCGCCGGUUCGAGAACUACGGCAAGUUCGGCCUGCUCUGCGGCUCCGACGGCCUGCCCCACCUCAUCGUCAGCGGCGACCAGCGGCACUGGGGCGAGUUCAUCACCCCCGGCGUGCUCUUCCUCUACAUCGCCGGCUGGAUCGGCUGGGUCGGACGCAGCUACCUCAUCGCCGUCAGCGGCGAGAAGAAGCCCGCCAUGAGGGAGAUCAUCAUCGACGUCGAGCUCGCCGCCAGGAUCAUCCCCAGGGGCUUCAUCUGGCCCGUCGCCGCAUACCGCGAGCUCAUCAACGGCGACCUCGUCGUCGACGACGCCGACAUCGGCUACUAAGAAGCUGCCAUGCGUGCGUGCGUGCGUGGUUGGCUAGUCGGUCCCAAGUCAGGUGAGCUCUGCAUCCAUGCCUGAAUGUGUUCUGCUCUGUCAUGCCAUGCCAUGGCUCAACUGAUUAACUUGUCUUGCGUUCUUGUUUGCUUUGGCAGAUGGGCAGCGGAGGAUGAGGGCUUGUGGUGUCGAUCUGUGUGGGCUUGGUGUAGGAGCUGAUAGGAUCAUGGAGAAAUGGAACCUCUCUUGUAUUUAAGAAACUGAACCCAAUCUUGUAUAACUAUUGUGUUCUCUCUUCACAUGUGUGUAUUUUACCAUUGUUCAAAUUGUUGAGAACGAUUUUAUUAUGCACAGCAUACUAUGAGUGCAAC